Molecule: microRNA precursor, 81 nt
Filed under: Ovis aries (sheep)
Lineage: Eukaryota; Metazoa; Chordata; Mammalia; Artiodactyla; Bovidae
Description: miRNA (ENSOARG00000024295.1)
Source: RNAcentral
AUUGGGUUGGCCAGAAAGUUCAGUUGGGUUUUCCCUAAGAAGUUAUGAAAAAACCUGAAUGAACUUUUUGGCCGAUGCAAU